Gavialis gangeticus (Gharial) is the source of this 1134-nucleotide long non-coding RNA. RefSeq lists it as uncharacterized. The record is from RefSeq and is a predicted model, not a curated record. The transcript has 2 exons. NCBI's taxonomy places the organism in Eukaryota, Metazoa, Chordata, Crocodylia, Gavialidae.
CUUUGGGCUUGGGAUAACUCUAUAGAGGAAAGAAGGACCCACUUGAAAUUCUGGCAUCCCUCUCACAGCACCCCCUUCCUGCCUACCUGUCCCAUCCAAUUGAGAACAGGGCACACCCUUGGGUGUACCCACGCUACACUACAAUAAGUGCCGACUCAAAACACGAUAGUUUUCCCCUGGAAGUUACUGUCCAGCCUCCUGGAUCAGGAACGUACUUUUCUGAGAAAUCUCCUGCUGCAAGGCAAGAUUUCCUAAUAAAACACAAACAGGCUCACCAUUGGGACACGACUCUCUCUAUCUGAUCAAGGCCAGGUUCUCAUGGAACAUAAGUACCUGGCCCAGGGGCCCCUGCUGGAUUUGUGCCACUGAGUAUCCCAUUUCCUGGGAGAUGACAUAUGAUCCAUGAGACCCUGGUUGAUGUUACAGUUCUCUUUUCCUUUAUUCAGAUAAAUUAUGUUUGUUUCUUAGACUUGGAGGCAGCAAGAGACUGACAGGCAGCAAUGGGAGCUGCAAUAGGAGAGCAGGAGGAGAGAGAACACGCUCAGAAAGGCAUGUCUCAGCCCUACAGUGUAUAGUCAUCCAUGAGUAUGCCACUCCCAAAAUCAUACUACUCCAUCAAGUGAGCUCCUUUCUCAUGAGGAGGCAUGUUGCUCAGCUGCCAUUUUCUAUUUUUAACUGGAAGUGAGUAAUAGUAGCAUUCUGCUUCCUGGGAGGUGGUACUGUUACCCAACCAAGACUUUAUUGGUUCCCCUGCAUCCGCAACAUCCAGAAUGGGCAGAAUUUGGAAGUUGACUGAAAAUCACAACCAACUGGAAAUAUUUUCUGCAGCUCCUCAGCUGUGUUGCUCAUCUCCGAUCACCUCCUUUCUACAAGGUGACAUUUGGAGCAGUUUAUCCCCUGCAGAUCCUCCCUGGAUUUGUGUGUCUCUGCACUGCCUGUUUCCUGGCAAGUGGGGCUUUGUGUAAAGGCUUUAUCAAUUCUCCUCACGCAUUCUGUCUCCUAUUCCUCUUUUAGAAGGAGAGACAGCAGUGGCGGCUGCAGAAACCUCUGAGGAGGAGGGAGGAGCAGCAGAGAUUAGCCGGUAUGUAAAAGUAGUGAAUCACAGUUUAUUAAAAUGAUCAUCAUUGUCUGAAA